This 425-nucleotide ribosomal RNA is filed under the name uncultured bacterium. RNAcentral's name for it is "partial 16S ribosomal RNA". It matches the Rfam family "Bacterial small subunit ribosomal RNA", at positions 354 to 796 of the family's 1533-position model. The record is from RNAcentral.
GUGGGGAAUCUUAGACAAUGGGGGAAACCCUGAUCUAGCCAUGCCGCGUGAGCGAUGAAGGCCUUAGGGUUGUAAAGCUCUUUCAGCUGGGAAGAUAAUGACUGUACCAGCAGAAGAAGCCCCGGCUAACUCCGUGCCAGCAGCCGCGGUAAUACGGAGGGGGCUAGCGUUGUUCGGAAUUACUGGGCGUAAAGCGCACGUAGGCGGACCGGAAAGUCAGCGGUGAAAUCCCAGUGCUCAACCUUGGAACUGCCUUUGAAACUCCUGGUCUUGAGGUCGAGAGAGGUGAGUUGAAUUCCGAGUGUAGAGGUGAAAUUCGUAGAUAUUCGGAGGAACACCAGUGGCGAAGGCGGCUCACUGGCUCGAUACUGACGCUGAGGUGCGAAAGCGUGGGGAGCAAACAGGAUUAGAUACCCGGGUAGUCC